RNAcentral lists this ribosomal RNA (301 nucleotides) under uncultured bacterium. RNAcentral describes it as "partial 16S ribosomal RNA". It matches the Rfam family "Bacterial small subunit ribosomal RNA", at positions 509 to 807 of the family's 1533-position model. The record is from RNAcentral.
CAGCCGCCACGGUAAUACGUAGGUGGCAAGCGUUGUCCGGAAUUAUUGGGCGUAAAGGGCUCGCAGGCGGUUUCUUAAGUCAGAUGUGAAAGCCCCCGGCUCAACCGGGGAGGGUCAUUGGAAACUGGGAAACUUGAGUGCAGAAGAGGAGAGUGGAAUUCCACGUGUAGCGGUGAAAUGCGUAGAGAUGUGGAGGAACACCAGUGGCGAAGGCGACUCUCUGGUCUGUAACUGACGCUGAGGAGCGAAAGCGUGGGGAGCGAACAGGAUUAGAGACCCCGGUAGUCCCUGUCUCUUAUAC